AAUGCACCAAUUUGUAAGUCGCUCUGGAUAAGAGCGUCUGCUAAAUGAGUUAAA
Molecule: non-coding RNA, 54 nt
Organism: Salmo salar (Atlantic salmon)
Lineage: Eukaryota; Metazoa; Chordata; Actinopteri; Salmoniformes; Salmonidae
Source: Rfam